Molecule: ribosomal RNA, 2236 nt
Filed under: Akkermansia muciniphila
Lineage: Bacteria; Pseudomonadati; Verrucomicrobiota; Verrucomicrobiia; Verrucomicrobiales; Akkermansiaceae
Description: partial 23S ribosomal RNA
Rfam family: Bacterial large subunit ribosomal RNA
Source: RNAcentral
UUGGUCAAGCUAAAAAGGGCGCAGGGCGAAUGCCUUGGCACUGGGAGCCGACGAAGGACGCGAUAAGCUGCGAAAAGCCACGGGGAGCCGCAAAUAGGCAUUGAACCGUGGGUGUCCGAAUGGGGAAACCCACAUGAGGGAAUGCUCAUGUAUCGUAUACUGAAUCCAUAGGUAUAUGAGGGGAACCGCCUGAACUGAAACAUCUAAGUAGGGCGAGGAAGAGAAAUCAACCGAGAUUCCGCGAGUAGUGGCGAGCGAAAGCGGAAGAGGCCAAACCAGGGAUAGCAAUAUCCCUGGGGUUACGGACUGCAUUUAGCAUUGUCGAAGGUUAGAAGAAGUGUAUGGGAAGGCACACCGAAGAGAGUGAAAGUCUCGUAUUCGAAAACUGAAGACAGCGAGCAGGAUCCAGAGUACCGCGGGACACGAGAAAUCCCGUGGGAAGUCGGGGGGACCACCCUCCAAGCCUAAAUACUACCCAGUGACCGAUAGCGUAUAGUACUGUGAAGGAAAGGUGAAAAGAACCCCGGGAGGGGAGUGAAAUAGCACCUGAAACCCUGUGCCUACAAGCACCUAGAGCACAUCAACGUGUGAUAGGGUACUUUUUGUAGAACGGUCCGGCGAGCGUAUGUAUGUAGCAAGGUUAAGGACUUCAGGUCCGAAGCCGCAGGGAAACCGAGUCUGAAUAGGGCGAAUAAGUUUCAUGCAUAGGGCCCGAAACCGGGUGACCUAUCCAUGUCCAGGUUGAAGUUGGGGUAAGACCCAAUGGAGGACCGAACCGACCUCCGUUGAAAAGGCGGCGGAUGAGGUGUGGAUAGCGGAGAAAUUCCAAUCGAACCCGGAGAUAGCUGGUUCUCCCCGAAAUAGCUUUAGGGCUAGCCUUGUGACAGAUUACUGGAGGUAAAGCACUGAAUGGACUAGGGGCCGAGAGGCUACCGAAUCCUAUCAAACUCUGAAUGCCAGAUAAUCGAUUCACAGGAGUCAGACAGUGUGAGAUAAGUUUCAUUGUCGAGAGGGAAAAAGCCCAGACCCACAGCUAAGGUCCCAAAGUAAGUUUAAGUGGAAAAGGAUGUGGGGUUGCGAAAACAACCAGGAUGUUGGCUUAGAAGCAGCCAUACAUUAAAAGAGUGCGUAAUAGCUCACUGGUCGAGUGACCCUGCGCCGAAAAUGUAACGGGGCUAAAAUUUACACCGAAGCUUGGGAUGUACGCAAGUACAUGGUAGGGGAGCGUCGUAUGAGGGGUGAAGUCGUAGCGAAAGCGGCGGUGGACUUCAUACGAGAGAGAAUGCCGGAAUGAGUAGCGAGAAUUAUGUGAGAAUCAUAAUGGCCGAAAGCCUAAGGAUUUUGGAGGAAGGUUCGUCCGCUCCAAGUUAGUCGGGAGCUAAGGCGAGGCCGAAAGGCGUAGUCGAUGCACACACGGUAGACAUUCCGUGACCACCGAAAGAUUUAAGACAGGGGACACUUAGAAAGCGCGUGACCCGGGCGUUGGUUGACCCGGGCGUAAGGGACCGAAGAUUAGUAGGGAAGCACGACGUGGACUGAGGCGAGAAAAGCCUGUUGUAUAUCUCAGGUGCCCGUACCGCAAACCGACACAGGUAGGUAGGAAGAGAAUUCUAAGGCCAACGGGAGAAGGGUUGUUAAGGAACUCGGCAAGUUGACCCCGUAACUUAGGGAAAAGGGGUGCUCGUGUAACAGCGAGCCGCAGAGAAUAGGUCCAGGCGACUGUUUAGCAAAAACACAGGUCUGUGCUAAAUCGAAAGAUGACGUAUACGGGCUGACACCUGCCCGGUGCUGGAAGGUUAAGAGGAGGAGUGAGAGCUCCGAAUUGAAGCCCCAGUAAACGGCGGCCGUAACUAUAACGGUCCUAAGGUAGCGAAAUUCCUUGUCGGGUAAGUUCCGACCUGCACGAAUGGUGUAAUGAUCUGGACACUGUCUCAACCGUGAGCUCAGUGAAAUUGUAGUAUCGGUGAAGAUGCCGAUUACCCGCGAUGGGACGAAAAGACCCCGUGAACCUUUACUAUAGCUUAACAUUGAAUUUGGGUAAUUGAUGUGUAGGAUAGGCCGGAGACUUUGAAGCAGGUACGCCAGUAUUUGUGGAGUCGCUGUUGAAAUACGGCCCUUUGAUUAUUUGAGUUCUAACUCGUAGAUACGAGGACACUGUUUGGUGGGUAGUUUGACUGGGGUGGUCGCCUCCAAAAGUGUAACGGAGGCUUCUAAAGGUGCCCUCAGGACGAUUGGU